Molecule: ribosomal RNA, 253 nt
Filed under: uncultured bacterium
Lineage: Bacteria
Description: partial 16S ribosomal RNA
Rfam family: Bacterial small subunit ribosomal RNA
Source: RNAcentral
UACGUAGGGUGCGAGCGUUGUCCGGAAUUAUUGGGCGUAAAGGGCUCGUAGGCGGUUUGUCGCGUCGGGAGUGAAAAUCCAGGGCUUAACUCUGGACUGGCUUCCGAUACGGGCAGACUAGAGGUAUGCAGGGGAGAACGGAAUUCCUGGUGUAGCGGUGAAAUGCGCAGAUAUCAGGAGGAACACCGGUGGCGAAGGCGGUUCUCUGGGCAUUACCUGACGCUGAGGCGCGAAAGCGUGGGGAGCAAACGGG